RNAcentral lists this long non-coding RNA (4249 nucleotides) under Panax ginseng (ginseng). RNAcentral's name for it is "long non-coding RNA (PGIN_LNC006466)". The record is from RNAcentral. Lineage: Eukaryota; Viridiplantae; Streptophyta; Magnoliopsida; Apiales; Araliaceae.
UUUGCAUCUAUUUCAUAGAGAUUGCAUAUAUCAAAGCCUGCCCAAUUUUAAUUCAUGCCCACUGUGUGGGUUAGCUUGUGCUACUUUCAUAUAGCUAGUUUGGGCUUUUAUUUUUAUUCUGAGGUUUACUACUUUAUUAUUUUACCUUCACUUAAUGUAAUUUCUGCAUUCAUAUCAACAAAUUAGUAUGUAUGUAAACUCAAAUCAAGUUUAGACCGUCUUAAUUUGCAAAUUAACUUAUAAUAUAUUUUAUCUAAGAAUACUUGAUUACAGUACUUACCCAGAUCGAUAGUGGAUUAUAUUAUUAGUUAAAUUAACAAGAAGCAAAACAAUUGAAGACUGAAAUUACCAAAUCCGUAUUUGAGAGGUAAGGUAAGGUAAGGUAAUUGUUCAUAUCCCAUUAUUUAUUUACUUUCUUAUUUUCAUUUUUCUUAUAACGAUGUUUGAUGAAUGUAGUUUUUCUUGAUCCUUUGAAAAAUAUUAAAGCUGUAAAAUGAGCAAACAGUUCGGGCUCGAUUCGGACUCGCUGGACUAAAAGUUUGAUUCGAGCUCGACUCGAAAUAUAAAUAAGUCAAAUAUGAGCAUAUUUUAAAGUUCGAUAAAUUACUCGAACCUCCUCAAAUUAUAAUUUUCUAUUGAUACUCGGAUCAUAUUUGUAAAGUAAGAUUGUAUUUCUUUAUUUGAUGGGAUAAAAAGGUUUAAUUUGAUAAGAAAUCUAUCGGAUUAUGGUGGACAUGACAGCUAUAAAUACAGCAAUAAGCAAGAAUUUAGGAUAUAUAAUACACAAUAGCAUAUGAUACAAAUAAACACUUUGUACUCUAUAUAUAUUAUUAUAGUCCAUAUAUUAUUAUAGUGAAUUUUUCUCUGUAUAUGGUUUUUUUUCAAUUUGGUUUUCAAAUAAAUUCUUGUGUUCAUAUUUUAUAUGUCUAUGAGAGUGUAUUUCGUGAGUUUGUUUUCAAACAAUACAAUCAACCGUUAGCACAAUUUUAGCAUAUUGUUUUGAUGAUUUCGUCAGGCGACACAAGCUAGCUGAAAAAAGUUUACUAUCUCCAAAAUUGUUUUUGUUAUAAUAAUUUAUUUAGCAAAAAAAAAAUAUGAAAAAUACAAGGUUUUCGCAAGUUUUAGCCUAAUUCUUGGUGCAUAAUAAUAAAUAGUUAGAAAAAAUACUUCUAAAUCUCUUUAGAAAGAUGAAAAAUUGUAUCCAAAGAAAAUUUACAAAAAAUCUUAUAUUUUAUGCGUCUCUCUUUUACAUCUGAUGAGCACAAAUUGAAAACGGCAUUGAAUUGAAUUGACUAGCUAAAUUCUCUCUCUCUCUCUCUAUAUAUAUAUAUAGAGAGAGGUGUAAGCUGAGCCAAAUAGUUCGAUACUCGACUCGAGAUCGGCUCGAAAAUAUGAUCCAAAACUCCAAUUCGAAGUUGAUCCGAGUCGAAUCUGAUUCAUACUCGUUUUCUGUUUAAUGAUACACGUGUCGAAUUCGAGCAUACCAGUGUUCGCUCAUAUUAGGGUUCGAGUAUUUCAUUUUUUUUCUCGAACCAUACUCGAUACCUGUUCGAUGGAUCAUAUUCGAAUAUUGGUCUGAUCCAUGUUAGUAAGCUAAAUAUGUGAUAUUUAUAUUAAUCUUUAUAAUUUAUAAAGUGUAGUAUGAAAUAGUGUAAACUUGUACUUGAAUAAAUCAAUUAAUUGAAUGUCAAUUAUAUUACAUUCUUUAUAAUUUCAAUACAUAAAUAAAAGUGAAAAAGUUUUAUAUAUAAAUAUUAGUUAAGUAACCAAUUUAGUAUGUAGUGGUUCAGUUUUAAGUGAAAUGAUUCAUAUUUGAAACUCGAUUUGAAGGCUCAUGAGUAACUCGCUUUGUAAACGAGUCGAGUACUUACGAGCCUAGUAGGUCCGAGUAAUGAUCCGAGUCGAAUUUGGCACAAAAAUAUAAAUCCCUUAUCGAAUCCGAGUCGAAUUUGAGCUCAGUUUUUUCGAGUCGAACCGAAUCUGAGCAUGAAGAUGUUCGCUUAGAUUCGACUCGUUUACACCCAUAUAUAUAUAUGUGUGUGUGUGUGUUCACUAUUUAUUUUUAGCUGUUAUGAAGCUCUCGCCUCAGAACUUGCAAAACUGACAAUAUACUUUGGAUAUGAAAUUCUGACAAUGCAUUUAAAAAUUAAAAUAUCCGGCCACCAUAUUUCACAAAAAUGUGCAUGAAUACAUGAUCAUGUAAAAAAGUAAAAUACAUAAUUAGUAAUUAAGUCAAAAAAAAAAAUUGACGUUACUCCCUCUAGCGGUCAGUCAAAACACAAUCGUUUUGACUGGCCGCUAGAGGGAGUAGCGGCUGGGCCUCCAUUCACUCUAAUUUUAGACGGCUAAUUUUGGACGACUAAUUUUAGACGGCUAGAUAAGCGUAAGUUGAAACAGUCCCUCUGGCUAACGUAUUCUAUGGAUCAUUUUUUUUUUUUUCUCUCUCUCUCUCUAUAUAUAUAUAUAUAUAUAUAUAUAUAUAUUGUGAGAACCCAGAUUUUAUGAAUAAAUAUUUAAUUUUUUUAAAAUAUUUUUUUUUAAAUAUUAUGGUGUGAAAUUGAUAUAAUGUUAUAGUUGUGGGUAGUAUUUAAAAAUUUUGCAAAGUACGCAAGUUGUUAUAUAAUAUUAAUUGGUCAGGGAAUAUUCGUUUUAACGGGGAAUAUUCUUUUUGUCGGAGAAUAAUCGUACGACGGCACAAUUAUUGGUGGACCCCACAAUGAAAGUAUUGUCGUAGUAAGAAAACGACAGAAUUAUCUUUUUAUAAAAAUAACGGCGGAGGUUUUACCGUUAAUACUGUUGAACUACCUGGUAGUAAAAGUAUAGUANNNNNNNNNNNNNNNNNNNNNNNNNNNNNNNNNNNNNNNNNNNNNNNNNNNNNNNNNNNNNNNNNNNNNNNNNNNNNNNNNNNNNNNNNNNNNNNNNNNNCAUCAUACAUUCUUCUUAAUUUUCACUUCACCACCGACUCCUUGUUAGGCCGUGAUAGAUCAAGAAUUGUUAUUGUUAUCGAUCUUAAUAUGCUAAGACUUAUAGAUUACAACAACAAUACGCCCGAGGCUGCGGGUGAAAAUAAGUAUGAUUGUUCGCCUGGGAAAAAGGAGGAGGAGGAGGAGGAGGAGGAGGAAAAUGAUAAAGUCUGGAUGCAAUCAUAUUUGGACGAAAUUCUUGGCGAUGAGGAUGAAAUACUAGACCAAAAUUUACUUGAAGAAGAAGAAGUAUUGUUGGAGGAGGAGGAGGAGGGUCGUAGAUCUGAAAUAAUGGAAAUUGCACGCGAAUUGAUGCCUUUUCUAAUUCAAACGCCUGAAAUUCUUGCCCAAACCAAACCAAAACUGUCGGUUCAUUUCCGACAUUUUGAAAAAAUUAGGUCUCCAGUAAAAAUAGAGGUGUUUGAUGGUGAACUGGAAUUGUGUAUGUGUUCGAUUUGUGGGAGUAGGGUUUUGACAGAAACGGUGGUUGCUAAAUUGCCUUGUUUGCAUCUAUUUCAUAGAGAUUGCAUAUAUCAAAGCCUGCCCAAUUUUAAUUCAUGCCCACUGUGUGGGUUAGCUUGUGCUACUUUCAUAUAGCUAGUUUGGGCUUUUAUUUUUAUUCUGAGGUUUACUACUUUAUUAUUUUACCUUCACUUAAUGUAAUUUCUGCAUUCAUAUCAACAAAUUAGUAUGUAUGUAAACUCAAAUCAAGUUUAGACCGUCUUAAUUUGCAAAUUAACUUAUAAUAUAUUUUAUCUAAGAAUACUUGAUUACAGUACUUACCCAGAUCGAUAGUGGAUUAUAUUAUUAGUUAAAUUAACAAGAAGCAAAACAAUUGAAGACUGAAAUUACCAAAUCCGUAUUUGAGAGGUAAGGUAAGGUAAGGUAAUUGUUCAUAUCCCAUUAUUUAUUUACUUUCUUAUUUUCAUUUUUCUUAUAACGAUGUUUGAUGAAUGUAGUUUUUCUUGAUCCUUUGAAAAAUAUUAAAGCUGUAAAAUGAGCAAACAGUUCGGGCUCGAUUCGGACUCGCUGGACUAAAAGUUUGAUUCGAGCUCGACUCGAAAUAUAAAUAAGUCAAAUAUGAGCAUAUUUUAAAGUUCGAUAAAUUACUCGAACCUCCUCAAAUUAUAAUUUUCUAUUGAUACUCGGAUCAUAUUUGUAAAGUAAGAUUGUAUUUCUUUAUUUGAUGGGAUAAAAAGGUUUAAUUUGAUAAGAAAUCUAUCGGAUUAUGGUGGACAUGACAGCUAUAAAUACAGCAAUAAGCAAGAAUUUAGGAUAUAUAAUAC